Hipposideros armiger (great roundleaf bat) is the source of this 4831-nucleotide RNA transcript. It is a transcript of the gene named symplekin scaffold protein, with no coding region annotated. The record is from RefSeq and is a predicted model, not a curated record. The transcript is spliced from 23 exons. Lineage: Eukaryota; Metazoa; Chordata; Mammalia; Chiroptera; Hipposideridae.
CGUGUGCGGCGCGUGCGCAGUGUCACGGCGGCGAGCGGAAGAUGGCGGCGGCGGCGUCUGGGAAGAGGCGCUGCUGAGGGGGCGCGAGGGGGACGGAAGCCGGAGCCGCGGGAAUACUAGACAGCAGCCAUGGCAGGCAGCAGCGGGGACAGCGUCACUCGCCGGAGCGUGGCAUCACAGUUUUUCACACAAGAGGAGGGGCUGGGCAUCGAUGGCAUGACCACUUCGGAGAGAGUGGUGGAUCUCCUGAACCAGGCAGCGCUGAUCACCAACGACUCAAAGAUCACAGUGCUCAAACAGGUCCAGGAACUGAUCAUCAACAAAGAUCCCACACUACUGGACAACUUCCUGGAUGAGAUCAUCGCUUUCCAAGUAGACAAGUCAAUUGAAGUACGCAAAUUUGUCAUCGGCUUCAUCGAGGAGGCAUGUAAGCGAGAUAUCGAGUUAUUGCUGAAACUGAUUGCGAACCUCAACAUGCUCUUGAGGGACGAGAAUGUGAAUGUUGUGAAGAAGGCCAUCCUCACCAUGACACAGCUCUACAAGGUGGCCCUCCAGUGGAUGGUGAAGUCACGGGUCAUCAGUGAGCUCCAGGAGGCCUGCUGGGACAUGGUGUCUUCCAUGGCCGGGGACAUCAUCUUGCUGUUGGACUCUGACAAUGAUGGUGUCCGCACCCAUGCCAUCAAGUUUGUGGAGGGCCUCAUUGUCACCUUGUCGCCCCGUGUUGCCGACUCAGAGGUGCCCCGACGCCAGGAGCACGACAUCAGCCUGGACCGAAUCCCUCGUGACCACCCCUACAUCCAGUACAAUGUGCUGUGGGAAGAGGGCAAGGCAGCCUUGGAGCAGCUACUCAAGUUCAUGGUACACCCCGCCAUCUCCUCCAUCAACCUGACCACAGCGCUGGGCUCCCUCGCCAAUAUCGCCCGCCAGAGGCCCAUGUUCAUGUCUGAAGUGAUCCAGGCCUAUGAAACCCUGCACGCCAACUUACCCCCGACACUAGCCAAAUCUCAGGUGAGCAGCGUGCGCAAGAACCUCAAGUUGCACCUGUUGAGUGUGCUGAAGCAUCCAGCCUCCUUGGAGUUCCAGGCCCAGAUCACUACCCUGCUGGUGGACCUGGGCACUCCUCAAGCCGAGAUCACCCGCAAUAUGCCCAACAGCAAGGAUACCCGCAAGCGGCCCCGAGAUGACUCAGAUUCCACGCUCAAGAAGAUGAAGCUAGAGCCCAACCUAGGGGAAGAUGACGAGGACAAAGACUUGGAGCCAGGCCCAUCGGGGACCUCGAAGGCCUCAGCCCAGAUCUCAGGCCAGUCUGACACAGACAUCACAGCCGAGUUCCUGCAGCCUCUGCUGACUCCUGACAACGUGGCCAAUCUGGUUCUCAUCAGCAUGGUAUACCUGCCUGAGGUUAUGCCCGCCUCCUUUCAAGCCAUCUACACUCCAGUGGAGUCAGCAGGCACCGAAGCCCAGAUCAAGCACCUAGCUCGGCUCAUGGCCACACAGAUGACAGCCGCAGGACUGGGCCCAGGUGUGGAGCAGACCAAACAGUGCAAGGAGGAGCCCAAGGAGGAGAAGGUGGUAAAGCCGGAGAGUGUCCUGAUUAAGCGGCGCCUGCCAGCCCAGGGCCAGGCCAUCUCGGUGGUGGGCUCCCUGAGCUCCAUGUCCACUCUGGAGGAGGAGGCACCCCAGGCCAAGAGGAGGCCAGAGCCCAUCAUCCCUGUCACGCAGCCCCGGCUGGCGGGCGCUGGCGGGCGCAAGAAAAUCUUUCGUCUGAGUGAUGUACUGAAGCCCCUGACCGAUGCCCAAGUUGAGGCCAUGAAGCUGGGCGCUGUGAAGCGGAUCCUGCGGGCUGAGAAGGCUGUGGCCUACAGUGGGGCAGCCCAGGUGCGCAUAAAGAUCCUCGCUAGCCUGGUGACGCAGUUCGACUCAGUCCUGAAGGCCGAGGUCCUGUCCUUCAUCCUGGAGGACGUGCGGACCCGCUUGGACCUGGCCUUCGCCUGGCUCUACCAGGAGUACAAUGCCUACCUGGCAGCCGGUGGCUCGGGCACCCUGGACAAGUAUGAGGACUGCCUCAUCCGCCUGCUCUCCGGCCUGCAGGAGAAGCCAGACCAGAAGGAUGGGAUCUUCACCAAGGUUGUGCUGGAGGCACCACUCAUCACUGAGAGCGCCCUGGAGGUGAUUCGCAAGUACUGCGAGGACGAGAGUCGCACCUACCUGGGCAUGUCCACCCUUCGAGACCUGAUCUUCAAGCGCCCGUCCCGUCAGUUCCAGUACCUGCAUGUCCUGCUAGACCUCAGCUCCCAUGAGAAGGACAAGGUGCGUUCCCAGGCCCUGCUAUUCAUCAAGCGUAUGUACGAGAAGGAACAGCUGCGAGAGUAUGUGGAGAAAUUUGCCCUCAACUACUUGCAGCUCUUGGUCCACCCCAACCCGCCGUCGGUGCUGUUUGGAGCUGACAAGGACACAGAGGUGGCAGCACCCUGGACCGAGGAGACCGUAAAGCAGUGCCUGUACCUCUACCUGGCCCUCCUGCCUCAGAACCACAAGCUGAUCCACGAGCUGGCGGCCGUGUACACUGAGGCCAUCGCUGACAUCAAGCGGACGGUGCUAAGGGUCAUCGAACAGCCGAUCCGAGGAAUGGGCAUGAACUCGCCUGAGCUGCUACUCCUGGUGGAAAAUUGUCCCAAGGGGGCAGAGACGCUGGUCACGAGAUGUCUGCACAGCCUCACAGACAAAGUCCCACCCUCCCCAGAGCUGGUGAAGCGGGUCCGGGAUCUCUACCACAAGCGGCUGCCAGACGUCCGCUUCCUCAUCCCUGUGCUCAAUGGGCUGGAGAAGAAAGAAGUGAUCCAGGCCCUGCCAAAGCUCAUCAAACUGAAUCCCAUCGUUGUGAAAGAGGUCUUCAACCGCCUGCUGGGCACCCAGCAUGGUGAAGGGAACUCAGCCUUGUCCCCCCUGAACCCCGGAGAGCUACUGAUUGCAUUACACAACAUUGACUCUGUGAAGUGCGACAUGAAGUCCAUCAUCAAAGGUGAGGUAUCCCCCCACCCCCUCUUAAGUGGCCUGGCCUCCACGGACUCGGGGAAGAAGUUCAGUCACCCACACGUCUCCACUGGAAUGUGCCAAGUCGGAGAUGGUGUCACGGUAGCCUCAUCCCAGAGCUCCGACACCCACCAUUGUUUCUCCCUCCCUCCUUCCUUCCCUCCUUUCCAUCUUUCCUUCCUCUCUCCAUCUAAGGAACUAAUGUACCUACUGAGUCCUGGCACAGAGUUUGCACUCAAGAAAGCUGGGGAGCUCCAGCCCCGGCCCAAGGAGCCGGUGAAGCAGAGCCCAGGGCCUAGUGUUCUUGGUGGGGAGGGGGCAGAGGCACUGCCGGCAGAGCAGAUGGAGGGCACCAAGGCCCAGGCUGGACCGGAGUAGAGGCUGGAUCUAGUCUGGGCUCCAGCUGCAGCAGGAGUGUGUGGGGCAGGGGUGUUGGUGACAAACUGUCAGGCUCCCCACAAUCAUCAGUUUCAUGAAAGCCGCUGUCACUGAGCACUUACUCUGAGCCAGGCUCUCCUGAGUGCCUCACAGGCCUGCCUGCCUUCUGCACCACCCGUUACCUGGUAAGUAUGCUGACAUCCAUUUUGUAGACAAGGAAAUGGAGGUUCCAGAGAGGUUAAGUAACAUGCUCGGCCACACACAACCUAAGUGGUAUAGGGGAGAAAACAGAAUCUGAAGUCGAGUAGACCUGAGUUGGGGUCCCAGCUCUGCCAAUUCCACAUCUCCCGUGGGAAGACCUCUCUCCCUCAGCUCUCAGCCCUCCACUCCCUCCCUGAAGGAGGUUUCUGGUCCAGAAGCCGUGCUUUCCCACGGAGGCAGACAACUUACGGUCACGUGCUCUACUCAGAAGACAACUGUCCUUUGAUUACUCCCCUGUCCUUUAUGAGCGGGGUGGGGGUUCCCCUCCUUGCCACUUAAGUCUCAUGUCUAGCCUGAAAUCGCUUCUCUAGUGACUUAUUUCCUAACCUUCCCCAGCAAGUUCUCUCAGAAACUUUUAGGUCAAGAGAGGAGCUUAUGAAAACGUAAAGCCCAUGCUACAAGUGAGGAGGAACUAAGGCCUCUAGCAGAAGAGCAGUAGGGUGGAAAGGGUCUGGAAGCUUGGAGUCCAAGAGCUGUCUUUUUACACUCACUGGCCCCUUCGAUGACCUCAGGAAAGCUUUGGGCUCAUUCCCAAAGACAAUGCGCUCACACGGCUUUGUGUACAAUUUGGGAGGUGUCACAGACCCCACCACCCCACCAAGCCCAUCCAUGGACCCACAUGUAGUCCCUGAUCUUACAUGAGGGAACCAAGUCCCAGGGAAUAAAAGGGCCUCGCCACAGGUCACACAGGCGGCCAGGGGCCAGGCCCCUGGAGAUGUCGGCAAGGCUUGGCCUGGCCUUGAGAACCCCACCUGUUUCUUCCUACAAGCCCGGGCCCAUACACAACCUCCAUACUGUGGAGCUCUCAGCAAGCCCACAGCUGGUCUCCCUGCCAGCCGCUGGUCCCCAGCACCUAGUCCAGCCAGUUCGCAGAGCACAUUUCUGUGCUCAGGCACCAGUGCUUUUCCUGGUUGCACUAAUAGCUCCACUUGACUAAGCUCCAGAUCUGAAGUCCAGUCCUGUUUUGUGCACCGUUGGAAUCCCCAGUGCCUGAUCGUAUUGGCAGUCAUUUCUGGCACGCACUCGCCCCUUAAACCAGCCUGUUUCUCUGGAGCCCCCUCCCCCCAUUCCUUAUAGGCACCCACCCCUGUUCUCCAUUAACCUCUCAAGGAUUGGGGGCCUCUCCUCUGGCUCAAUAAAGACUUCCUGGUUGACAGAC